GAACACUCCAGCAACUUCUUCCACACUUGAGAAAUACUGGAUGGGAUCCCUGAUGUCUCUGUCUUCAUCCAACAAUUUGAACUUUCCUGCAGAAGGACAUGAGCAGAGAGCGAGAUAAAGAGACACAAAGUUUUGGGAGCACAAAGACACCUCAGCGACCUCUGACCUGGCACCAGCGUUCGAGCCAAUCAACAGUCUACAGGGUUGUCAUGGCAACCGACCCGCAUGAUCAUCUUUGUGCUGCCUGGCUGCAGAAAUAAGUGAAGUUCCGGUUGCGCAACAACA
Molecule: long non-coding RNA, 285 nt
Organism: Syngnathus acus (greater pipefish)
Lineage: Eukaryota; Metazoa; Chordata; Actinopteri; Syngnathiformes; Syngnathidae
Exons: 3
Source: RefSeq, a predicted model, not a curated record